RNAcentral lists this ribosomal RNA (253 nucleotides) under uncultured bacterium. RNAcentral's name for it is "partial 16S ribosomal RNA". It matches the Rfam family "Bacterial small subunit ribosomal RNA", at positions 524 to 776 of the family's 1533-position model. The record is from RNAcentral.
UACGUAGGGUGCAAGCGUUGUCCGGAAUUACUGGGCGUAAAGGGCGCGUAGGCGGAUGUCUAAGUUGGGGGUGAAAGCCCGGGGCUCAACCUCGGAAUAGCCUUCAAUACUGGAUAUCUUGAGUUCGGGAGAGGUGAGUGGAAUGCCGAGUGUAGAGGUGAAAUUCGUAGAUAUUCGGCGGAACACCAGUGGCGAAGGCGACUCACUGGCCCGGUACUGACGCUGAGGUGCGAAAGCGUGGGGAGCAAACAGG